GAGAGGCUCACCAGCCGCAAACUUUCGACAAGUCAAUCUACUUCUUAACGAGAAUCUUGGAUUGUGUCUUGGAAUACUUAAAUAUAAGGGGUUAAUACAGAUGUACUAGUAUGCAUAUCCAAUUUCAUACCCUAUUUUUACUUGAAGGUCUAAACUAGCACGACGUUAUGGACUCUAAAAUAAUUUAAACUUAUGUACAGAGUCGCCAUCUAAUUUUAAAGAAAAAUAAGGAAACCUAUUGAAUUAUUAACAUGUAUAAUCAAUGUUUCAAUCUGUGAAAAACCAAUUGAGAUUUUAGGUAAGGGUUUAAAUUAUCUCAAAGGGAAGGGAUUAGGAACCCUUCGAGAUCCACAAUUGUGGUACCCGGCUAGACUAAAUUUAUCAAAGAAAGAGGAGGUAUAUUUAAAAUAUAUAUAAAAAUUUGUAUGUAUAUUAAGUAUAAAAUAAUUUCAUUGAAAAAUAUAAAUGUUUUUAGACUAUGUAAAGGCAUAUGUAUAUUAACUGUAUAAAUGAGAUGUAGUUAUAAAAUAUAUAAAUGUGCAUAUGAAAAGGAAGAGCUUUUUAUGAUGCAUGAAAAAAAAUGUAUUUUUUAUGGCAUGAAAAGUGAUGUAUUUACAAGCAAUAUUUUUAUUUGAUUAAAAUUAGAAAGAAAAGUAAAAUUUAUUUGAGAGAACAAUACGUGAAUUACUUAAUUAACUUGAUUCUUCUAUUAAGUAUAGUAAAAUAAUAUAUAUGUUUUAUUGUAAAAAAAAUUUAUAUUAGUAUAUGUAUGUAAAAAAUAAACUAAAUCGAAAUAAGAAAAUUUAAAAAAAAAAAAAGAAGACAAUGUAAUAUGCGAAUAUGUAAAUUAGUUGAUUAACUUAAUUGUUUUAUAUAAAUAUUAAUGGCCUAAGUCUUGCAUAAAAGCGAUGAAAAUAUGUAAAUGAAGGAUAUCCUCGCCCGAUACCCAAAAAGGAAAGUUUUUAGUAUUUUUGUUAUUUGUACAAAUGUGAGAAUAUAAAAUACAAUAUAAAAUUUAAGGACUCCUUUGACUGCAACUGCUGACGAGUAUUCCAAAAUAACCUGUAUAAAAACUUGUAAAAAAAUGUUAAUAAUAAGUAAAAAAUAAUAAAAAUAAAUUGAACAAAUAUAUCUGCAUAUGAGUAUUUAAAAAUAUAUUUUUUUGUUUAAAAGUGGACUCAGAUAAAUUCAUGACUAUGAAAUAGUUGCUAAAUUAAUUGGUCAUCCUAAAUCGUAUUAUUACGAAGUGGUUGCUUAAUUAUUGGCCGUCCUAAAUCGUCUAGCCAAAAUAUAAAUUGUAAAAUCUUAUGUUGUUAUAAAGUUUCAUCAUUGUCCAAAAUAUUUAUUUAUUAACAUAUUUGUAUACAUAAAAUCCAUCUUUUGUUUACGAACACCUCAACAUUAAUAAGAAUUUUUUCAUUGACAAAUAUCUUGUUCUUUAUCAGUCAAAUAAAUUGUAACUAACAAAAUUUAUCCAAAAUCAAUGUCUGAUAUUUUAAUAGCAGCAGACCCAGUGACAAAAUAAUAGAAACGGAGCAAACUAACAGUAAUAGCAAAAAGUAAGGAAACAUCAGCAAAAUAAAAGAAAACCCAUGGUCAAAAGUCUGGCUAGAUCUAAACAAAUUAGACAAAACAAGAAUAAUAAGAAUAUUAUCAAGCAUUAAAUAAAUAAAAGCACCAACCAAUACCGCUGCUUCGACCAUGAUGAAACGCCGGAGCAGUUGGUGGCAAAUAUACGAGCGCAAGGAGGUAUCGCCGGAGCUACUCUCGGAGGAGAAAGAACAGCGCAAUGAAGGAGAAGGGGGAGGUUGCCGUGUGAUCGAGACGAAGGGAGGCGGCAUCUGAUAGAGGCUCGCCGGUCCGACGGCCGUCGUUGGCUGCUGCUGUUGCUGGCUUGUGGUUGGUGGUUGCCGGUGUUGUGGGUUGGUGGGUGGCUACUGAAAGAUUAGAAGGAAGGGCGUGAAGGUGGUUUUAUCUUGAUUGGCAGUGGAUGUCACCGGAGUUCAGCCGUGCUCACCGGAGGAACGAGUAAAGAGGGUGGGUGUGUUCGGAGAAAGUUCUGAUUUUGUGUGUUCUAUCAGUGUGUGUACUGUGCCUUGUUGUAUAUAAGAAAAAGGAUCUCAUAUAUAGUGUAUUGUGAUUUGUGUGUAAUGUAUCCGUUUGAAAUGAAACGUUGCAAAAGUUGACAAUGCCCAAGAUUUUCUUUGAUUCAUUUUUGACUUGUGUAGCAUAAAUCAAAUUAAACAUUACUUUCUUUGUCUUGAGAUGACAUAAAGAAAAGCAAAAUUUGCCUUUUGUCUCAACAAUGUUUGAAAGAAAACACAUUCUAAAACAAACAACGAAUCUUUUAAGCAAUUUAAAGUAACUCACAUUAUUACUAGUCAAAUCUAUAUUCCUACCAAUUUAUGCAAUUACGGAGAAAGCCUGCAACUUUUUUUCUCUUAAUAAUUCGAUCUUUAAUUGAUUUUUUGAGCUUCAAAUUUAAUAACUAGCUUAAUAUACUUUAAAUAAUGAUAUUUAAGAAUUACGAAAAUUUAAUGUAUUCAUGACGACUUUUCUAAAUAUCAGACUAAAAAAAUAAAAUAACAACGAUCGAUUUUAAAGAAAUAAAAAUAAAACAAGAGCAGUAUUAUUGAUAACACAUUAGUAUUUUUGAAUUAGUAAUAAUAGUAUUACAUAAAUAAGAAUGGUAAAAAAAAUAGUAAUAAAUUAAAUAGUGAUGAAAUAUAAUAAUAUUUAACUUAUUAUUAAGUUAGAAGCUCAAGAAAAUGAAUUAAUAGAAAUGAAGAAUAAAACUGGAUAUCAACAUACUAUUUGUGUUAAUGUACAAGACAACAAAUUAUUAUUGUACUUUCAUUGAAAUAAUUGAUUCGACUCAGUUUUUUGCAGAUUGUAAAAUGUAGAAAUUGAUUUGUAAUUAUAUAAAAAAUGUAAAGAAUGUUGAAAAUAUUAAAAAAUGUAAUUAAUUUGAAAAAUGUUAUAAAAAUGUGAUGGCUUGCAUGUGUGCAAAUGUUUGUAAAAUUAUAAAUUGAUAAUUAUAAAAAAAAUUAUUAAUAAAUUAUAAAGAGUAAAAAUAAAUUGAUAAAAUCCUAAAGUAAGGAUGAACAUCAAUAAUUUAUUAUCAGUUGUAAACAAUAUGUGAAAAAUUGUAUUUUGUGCCCUUUAACGGUCAGAAAGCCUGAAUAUGUUAAUUUUAAGCACGAAAAACAAAAAUUGGGUGUCAACAUCCAAAAUAAUGUAUUCUUAUAUAUAACAUAAGUAAGAGCAAUUUAUGAAGCAUUUUACAUAUGAUAUAUGAAAACACAUGGGUAUUCUUUAAAGACGUGGAAACAUUUCUUUGAAUCCAUGACCCACUCUUUAUUUUACUUCUAAGCUAGAUGGUACACCCUACAAUCUAUAACUCCAUGAGCUAUAUGGAUCCGCCCUUGACUCGGCGGUCAAGCCCCCAAUCCAAGUUUGUCGCAAAGAUUGGGGUGUCAGUGAGGGGGACAUGCAAGAUCAAAAAGCAGGGUGUCAUAAUUCCCAAUCAAGUCAACAUGUCAUGAUAGUUCACAAGAUCACAAAGCAGAGCUCCUAACAAUAGUAUCAAAUUUGGACGACAAGAACCAAAGGUACACAAGAUCACAAAGUAGGAUACUAUAAUCCCAUGUCUGCAAAUCAUGAUUUCUAGCAUUGAGCCUUUCAACUCAUGCUAUCAUUGGGUAGGAAUGUAACUCUAUUUAACCCCAGUUUUAUCCUCCUAAAAAAAUAAUUCAUUCUUAAUAACAAAUCUUUCUCAUUUUUUAUGGGCACAUCACAACAGGGUAUCGUACCCAGACUUGCAAGUCAUUCAUAUCAUAUCAAUUCUACGGCCCUUCUUAUUCAAACAUGUACAAUUACCACCAGAAGGUUCAUCCAGUCACACCAUAGUUCUCAUUAUUAAAAUCACAUGAAACUUAUUCAAGCCCACUCUUUUUACGAGUUUUGAAAAUAUAGUGGCCAUUCUAUUUAUUCUGUUCAUGCAUAAUGAUUAAGGAGACAUUUCAAACUCAAGAGUUUCUCAUCAUUCACAAACAAGCCCCUGAUAUUGGUUAUACAUAAAUUUCAUGGUUAAAAGAUGGGCUCUUAAUUCAUGCGCUCAAAAACUAAUUCACAAUUUAUAUCAUGCAAGGUUCAUAAAUUUCGUCAUGGAGAGUGAAAUCUCACAAGUUAUAUUCAUGAAUUAUCUUUUGGAUUCAAAUCACAUAAGCAGAGAUUUAUAAAUCAAACUUACAGAAAACCCCAUAAUAAUUUCAUAAUUCCAUCAAAUUGAUGUCAUAAUGCAUGCUAUUAAAAUAAUUUACCAAAAUCACUUUUUAUAUACAUACAUAAAUAUCUUCAAAGCUUAUAAAAAUCAUAAAACUCAUGCCCAUGAGAUUUAGGAUAGCCCCACAUACAUUAGUUUUGAAGAAAUCAUGAAGAAAUUUUGAAAAGAUUUGACCUCUAAGCUCGAUUGCCCAAACCUUAGUUGUUUUCCAAGAGAUCAUGUAGAUAGAAUCAGGAGAGUGUGUGUUGGACCCAAUCCUCAGUGUAUGCAAGUGAAGUGCAAAGUAGCCCCGAAUUAUACACUAAAACCCAUCCAAACACCAAGCUUAUUCUACACUUGAUAGGCUAACUUAAUGGAGGGAUACUUUGUCUUUUUAAUGUCUAUUAUGCAUUACACUAUAAAAGGACAUGUUAAGGUUUAUUUAGGGAGUUUUUGCAGACUAAAAAUUGUAUUACACACUUAAAACUAGAGAAUUCCUCUCAUCCUUAGAGUCUUGGCCGAAACAAGGUUAGUAACAUAAGAGUGGGUUCACUUUGUUGCUUGUUUUCUUGGAACCUUGGGUGCUUGAAGGCUUGAGGUCCUCUCUUGUGUCCUUUGCAUAGUUUAGGGUUUACUACUAUCAUUAUUAAGGGUCUUAGUGUUCAACAAACACUUAGGUUCUUAGUCAUUAUUGUAGUGUAUGCACACUCCCUAUCUUUCUAUUCUUGUAAUUUUGUAGUAGCAUGUAUUUUGUAUGUAGAUUGUGUGUUGUUUCUUGUUAUCACUAUAAUGCCCCGUAAAAGGUCAUUCAUGUGAUAUCUUCUAGUAAUGUGCUCUUAGCCUUGGAAACUUGAAAAUAUUCUAAGUUCCAAAGAGACUUGGUCUCAUUUUUAACUCUUAAUCUUUGGGGAUUUUAUUUUAAACCUUUCCGACCUCCGAUUUGAGAUUUUCUUGUUGCGUUGAGAUGGGUCAAGGUCAUAGUACAUAUCGGGUAAGUUUUGGAAUUUUUAGACGAGCCUAAGGUUGUGUUUGAGUUGGCUAAAAAGUAGUUAAAGGCGCUAGGCCCGCGCCGCCUGGGGUUCACCCCUGCUCUAAGCGGGGCGCCUCCCCACUCUCUCCUCCAGUGAAAGCAGGGCACUGCCCUGGCUUCUCCUAGGGUCUAACAGGGCGUCGCCUUGCAUAUCAUGCCCAGCCAAAUUUAGCAUCCUAUUUUCAUCUCAUUAAGGGCAUUAUGGUAUUUUCCCCAACCCUUAUCAGCUUAAACACGAGAUUAUACUUCUAAUUGAGCACAAUAUUGAUAUUUUUACCAAAAAUCCUCAAGAACACUCUCUAGGGUUUCAAACUAAAAACCCGGAUUUCUCAAGAUUCAACCGUUAGUUUUGGAAAUUUACUGGAGAAUUAGAAUCCCCAGACCGCAAGCAUCGAGUAGUAUCCAUUGUUUUCCCAAUUUGAGGUAUGCAUGGUUUUCCUAAAUUCUCAUAGGCAUAGGAAUCAUGAUUUUAUAAAAAGGGAUUUUGAAUUGUGAAUAUAUUCAUGUUUUAAAAGCAUUGAUGAUAUUGUUUUGGCCUUUCGGCUUUCCCUCAAAGUGAUUUGAAAUCUUAUAUGUAUGUGUGUAUGUGUUUUGAAUUGAUAGUUGAAUUGAGAGCUCGAAUAAUCAAGAAUCCCUCUCUAUUUAUGAUGUUUUCCAUUUUUCAUAUGAUAUGGAUUGUUUUUGAAAUACAUAUUGAAUAACAUGAUUCGAAAGGUUUUGAUAAUAAAGGAACUCAAAUUAUUGAGAACUUCAAGCGACAAAGCCUCUUUCCUUUCCUUCCUUGAAAUGACUCCGCCGAUCAAAUCAAGUACCAAAGGAAACCCAUCACACUUUUUGGCUAUUUUCUCUCCAACAUCCUUUAGUUCAUCAGUGCAAUGUUCUUCUCUGAAUACCGUUUUCUCUAACAACUCCCAGCUUUCUCCUGGUCGUAGCAAUCAAAGAUCAAGAGGAUACCUGUGACAUUUUCCAUGCAAAGCCACUUCCUUUUUUAGACUUGUUAAAAUAACUCUGCUCCCUUUCUGAAAUUCAGUUGGAAAAGGUCUUGUCAGCUCAUCCCAUGUUGCAGUAUCCCACAAGUCAUCCAAGACAAUAAGGUACCUCUUUCCGAACAGUUGUCUCCGUAGCUUAUCAGCAACGUCAUCGUCUAUGUCAUCCUCACUGACUCUUUCUUUCAAACCAAUAACUUCAUUGAAAAUUUUUUAUACACUUUGUAAGCCAAAGUAGUUUUUCCAAGCCCUGAUAUGCCGACUAUGGGAAUGACAUCUACCUCAGCUGGUCCACUGGAGAGCUUCCUGAUAAUCCACUCUGUCUCCUCCUCAAAACCUACAAUUAUUUUACCAGUUAUUGAUGGCUUAUUUUCAACUGGCUUGUUGGGAGAGUUUGCAAAAAUGAUACUCGUGUUCUUGGAGAUCCUCUUGUACCUCUUUUUUGACAAGCUUGAUCUUUUCUACGGUAUCAGGAAGUAAGACGAUAAGCUGCAAGAGACCACGAUCUCUGGCAAGAAUUGAGUUAAUGGCAUGUUCCGCCUCAUAUGCCACAUCUAGAACACGAGUCCAAAGAUCUCUAUGCAAUUCUUGCUCCACAGUCCCAAAGAACGAUCUUAUGUGUUCUAGGUCUUCUUUCACCCGACUGAUUUCUUCUUUUAUUAAAGCAACUGAAUAAGCAUUGGAAUUGAGCAAGUCAUUUAAGUUUCUGAGUAGGAAAGUCAUGAAGAGUGGUCCAUCACUCAUGUGGAAGCAGAGCUGUGAUGAGUCUGCAGGGGCUUUCAAGAAAACAUUCUUGAGAUCUUCCUUCAGGACGUCAAUAACUUUCAGCAAGUUUAGACUUGCACCGCUUGCUUCCUUCAUAUUCUCUUCAUUCCUUGAGUUCUCUUCUAAGUUGCGAACAAGAACGAAUACCUCCUUGGUAAGUGCUCCAACACGUUCCAAGAGAACAAACAAUUUUUCAUGACGAAUAACGUCCUUGGACACAUCAGUAAAAAUAAUCAAUAGGAACUCUAUCAUGACAUGAAUAUUUAGAGCUGAGGUGCUAGGAGUAAUAGCAUUAACCAUGUGCUGUUGUAGAUGAAUCAGAUAUUCUCUAAGAAUGUCUGGAGAGCCUUCUAGGAGCUUCUUAAUGAAGCGUCCAACUUCAGCUGACUUUGAAGCUUUCAAAUUUGUAGAACAAAUGUACAUAACUUCCAGUGAAACUGGAAUUAUCUUCAAAAGUAGAUGGACUAGCAUGGAAUUGACGAGAGAGACUUCAAUGAUCUGUUUCAUCUGCUUGGGUCAUUUGUCUUAUGCUCAAUACAUUCUGAAGAAGCUCAUAUUGAGUCAUUGGUGGGAAAAUCAACUCAGCACAAAGCUUGGGUAGAUAAUGGAGAUUCACAAGGAUCCCGUCCAAAAGUUCAACCAACUGAUCCUCAGUAAUGGCCGCACUUGAUUCAGAAUGAUGAUUUGAGAUGAUAGAACUUUUGAUAUUUUCAAGAAGGCGAGGAACGACAUGAUCCUUUAACUUAACCAGCAUGUCAUCUCCACUCUGAUGAAAAAGUGACAGAACCAGAUCAUGAACCUCAUAUGAUAUGCAAGACAUUUCGGCAUCAGAACCAACCGAAAUGUAAUAACAAAGCUGCAAACUCGCCGACAAAAAUGUCAGCUCCAGUUUCAGCUUUUCAAUUUGAUCCAUAUCAAGAACAAUUUGAUCCUCUUCAGUCUUUAACCUCUCUUUGAAAUCAUGAAGAUUGACAAUGUCUUCGUGAAACACAGCAGAUGAUACCUGCUAAAAGACCAAAUGUGCAUCAAAAUUUUCAGCUCACAUAUUCGCCAUUACAAAUUUUACUCUAACUUAAUGGGGCAACUAACGUAAAUAUAGAGGUUCUUCUUCAAAAUAACCUACUGCAUAAGCUAAAUGUUUGUCCUAUAGUUACAUUUUAUAUGAUAAACAAGAGUUAGAUUUCUCAGAAGGUGACUCAACUAAUGAAAAUUGUCCGAGAAAGUCACUAGUCUUUGUUUUGUAGUAGAAAAACCACUCUAAUUUUACCAUUUCACCUACAAAGUCACUCUACACAUUCAGGUGGUAUUCAACUGGUUUUAGAUUAUGUGUCAGCCUUUUAUAAAAUAAAAACUGUCAUUAAAAGUAUUUUACUGACCCACUCCAUGACGCGACCAGCUAACCAAUUUGCACUUUAGUUACUUGGAUUGCCUAGGUCCCUUAACUGCUACUGUUAAUUUCUCCAAGUGGAAGUUUAGCUCAACAACUUUGCCACUCAGUUAGGCAUCGAAUUUUGGGGGUGAAUGUGUCUAGUGCAGGUACAUUAUCAAUAGACCACUCUAAAGGGGAAGUCAUCCUAUGGAUGUCAAGAACCGUCGUGUGAUCAAUGGCACCCCAAAUUUUGUUUUGGUUCAAAAAUUGAAUUACAAAAUUGACAAAACUCAUAAAGCAAGCAUGUCAAUAAAGAAUUUCUACUGAUCCGUCCGUUCACAUAUAUACUAGUUUGUUACUCGGUGCACUGAAGAAGUAUAUUAACUAGUACAGAUGAUUUUAUACCAAAUCGAAGAAAAAGAAUACAUAUAUUGAACAUAGUCAUUUGAUUUUCAACACUGUUUGGGGUUCUUAUCGUCUUUGGGGUUGAGUUAGGCCAAGUGCCAAAUCGUUACAAGCAUUAUUUUGCACAUCAAACCCAACCAUAAAAAGGACACGUUACCCAAAUUGAAUCCCAGCGCUUAAAACAACUUAUUCCACAGGAAAACAAAAUCAUUUUUCUUAUAUACAAACUACAUGAAAUUUUUUUAAAAAAAGAUGAUUAACAUGUUUAAGUCGAUUAAGCUCCAAAAAAAAAAAAAACAAGCAUACUUACAAGACUUAAUUAUGUCUUAAUGAAAAAAAAAUAUAAACAAAUAUUGUAUAACAAUACCGAUGAGCUGUUUGCUUCUCCGUUCUCUCUUUUGCCUUUAUUUUUCUUUUCUCUUUCCAUGUAUGUAGUUUUUCCUUUCAAAUUGUCAAGAUCUGAUCAUAUAUAAAAAGUACAUAAACCUUUAUCAAAAGAGAACAAGUAGAAAAAAAACACACAAGAAACUCAAGAUAUCUACAACAACAAUAGACCUUAUCUCUAUCUCGUGAGGGCAAAAUAUGUACGAACCUUAUCUGUAUCUCUUGAAGGUAGAUAAGUUAUUUCCAAAAGAAACUAGGCUCAAAACAGAUUUUAAGAAAAUGUAGUUAGGAUGGCAACAAAGCUUGGACAAGUUACAACAUGACUUCACAAGUCAAGCUAGUACUGCCCAGUGUACCAAAGGAAUUUAAUUUCUUCUCCCCAUUAGUUGACCUGUAAAAUUCCUCUUUUGUCAUUUGCAUUACCCAAUAAUUGAGUAAUCUAUGAUUUGCUUAUUUUAUUUUAUUUUUUAACACAAUAGGGUGUAAAUCACUAAAAAUAAAAAGUGAGUGUUGUUUUUUUUCUUUCCAAACAUUACUAAAACUGGCAAUUUUAGAGUCCCAUAGGGGAAUUAUGCUUCCUCCACUAUUGAAAGAGUUCCACAUAUUAACUUGAUGUUGUUAACAGCUUGUACAUUGAGGCCGGUCUAAGCUAAUUAAUGGGUUGUAAAAAGUGAUUCUUGUUCUUGCUCUAUUCGUUCUUUCUUGUUAAAUUUUGACUUGAAAUAUUUAUUAAGAAAAAUAAUUAUUGACGUAGCUAUUUUACCAUGAUAUUCCCUAUUAAAUGAUGUUUCAUAUUAUGUCUUGAAAUUAAUUUGAAAAAAAUGCAACUAAUGCAAAGGGUAUAAUAGAAAAAAAAAUUGUUUUUUCUUAAUUUCUCAAAAAUGAAAAAUAAAAAUAAAAUAAAAUUAAAAAUAGUAACAAAUAGAAACGAACGGCAUCGCUCACUUAAGUGUCAUUCAUUUUCGGGGCUUGUUGAUUCGGCAGGUGAGUUGUUAUAUACUCCUAGCAGAUUUCGACUUCCAUGAUCACCGACAUGCUGUCUUAAUCAACCAACACCCUUUGUGGGAUCUAGGUCAGCGUGCAGUUUGGCACCGUAACCCGACUUUCAAUUCAUCCUGCAUUACCAGUUCUGCUUACCAAAAAUGGCCCACUUGGAUGUGUUGUACUUCCUCCAAAAUAGUUGACCUUCUUUCUAAAAUUACUUGUUUCAGUUUAGUUAUUUCAUUUAUAAAAUUAAAAGAAUUUUAUUACGUUCUUUUAAUACUACUCUUAUUACAUUAGUUUAGUAUAUACAUAGGGUAUGGGUAAAUUUAUACCGUCCCUAAGUAGUAGUAGUAUAAUUUAUUUUUUUUUAAACAAAAAAAUUCAACAUGACCUUGUGGUUUCAAACCAAGACUUGAAAAAAAGUGAAGGACCAAGUUGCUGGAAAGAAUUGAAGGAAAGGUAUCUUUUAAGUCUUAAAUGAAGGAUUGGUGACAUUGACCAACUUAAAGGAUCAAACAUCAUUAGGAAACUUGAUUAAGUUAAUUGUGGAAUUGAUUAAUAUUUUCAACACUUUCUAAUCUUUUCAAAAAUACAAAUCAACCGAACCCACACCCCUCUUCAAUCCAAAUCAACCAGUCUCUCUCUCGACAGCUUCUUUCAACUCUCGCCCAACCAACAGUUCUGCAAAAUUUCUCCUAUCAAUCCUCAGCAACUUCAACAUUCGACGACAAAUAGUUGGGCUUCGAGUUCCUUUUCGUCUUCAACCUUUAAUUGACUUGACAACCUUUCUCUCUGGCCACAACAGCUUUGAAGUCUUUGUUUCAAUCGACGUGACAGCCUUGCUCUCCGAUCACAAUAGCUUCGAAUUCAUCAUCGCUCCUUUUCUUCUUUCGCAGGUAAAAAUUUAUGGCCUUUUUAGUUUUGAGGAAAACGAGGAACUUGAGCCAACUUCUCUUAUAGUAUUGAUUAACAAUUUUAAUAUUUGUUGUAUUAAUUUGAAAUGCGGUCUAAACAAAACCCUAAUUUCUGGUAUUUCUUCUCUUAUUUUUUCAAAGUAAAUUAUGUUUUUUUGUUGUUUGUUGCAUUGUUUUGAAGUUUGAUUUUUAUUGUUUGUGUUUGUAAAAGCAAAACAACAAUUUGGGUUGAUUUGUUCUGUUCUUGUUCUUGGUAAAAAUGGUGAUAUUGCUGUUUUUUUGUUGAACAAAAUCGUGCUACUAUUUUUUAUUUUCUCCAACAGAUUAUCCAUCUGGUGCAACAUAUUAACCAUCUGAGGCAACAAAUUUAUCAUAUGAUGCAACAGCUCAAUCAUCUGAUACAUUAAAGGAACCAUCAGAUUACAUCUCUAAUGCAAUAGAUUAAUCAUCUGAUGCAAUAGAUUAAUCAUCUGAUGCAAUAGAUUAAUCAUCUGAUGCAACAGAUUAACCAUCUGAUGCAACAGAUUAAGCAUCGGAUAAAAAAUCUGAUGCAACUAAUUAACCAUCUGAUGCAACGAAAGAACCUCCUGUUGGAUAAAAGCCUAUCAACUCUUCCAACAGGAAAUAUCCAAGACUUGAUUUUUCCAACUGAUCAUUCAUCUACCGCGAUAGAUGACCCUAUGUUGGAAGAAAUCUAAACAAUAUUGACCGUUGAUAACUAUUCCAACAGAUCACUUAUAUGUUGCAAUAUAUGUGUGACUUAUUGCACAGACCAUUCAUCUUUCUCAAUAGAUAAGUGAUAUAUUUUAUAUUUUCGCAACAGAUUACUCAGCCGUUGUUAUAGGUAGGUCAGUUAACUGUCUCGAUAGAUCAUAUAUUUCAACAGAUGUGUGGUCUGGUGUACAAACCAUUCAUCUUUCUCAACAGAUAAGUGAUAUAUUUUUUUUGUCGCAAUAGAUUACUCAGCCAUUGCUACAAGUUAUUCAACUGUUCUAACAGAUCACUCAUAUGUUGCAACAGAUGUAUGAUCUACUGCACAGACCAUUCAUUUGUCUUAAAAGAUGAGUGAUAUGUUUUGUAUUAUUGCAACAAAUUACUCAUAUGAGAGGAAGUGUAGAUCACCCAUAGGUUGGUUCGAGGUGGGUGAAGCGGCUGUGAGUGGUCCUGAUUCGGUAUUUGAGGCUAUGGAAAAAGUUAAGUUGAGUAGGGAAAAGUUGAAAACUACACAGAGUCGUCAGAAGUCAUAUGCGGAUGUUAGAAGGAGAGACCUUGAGUUUGAAGUUGGUGACCUAGUGUAUCUGAAAAUUUCACCCAUGAGGGGGAUGAAGAGAUUCAGAAAGAAGGGAAAUCUUAGUCCCCGUUAUGUUGGUCCUUACAAAAUUCUUAACCGUGUCGGUAAGGUAGCUUAUGAGGUCGAGUUGCCUUCUGAGUUGUCCUCUGUUCAUCCAAUAUUCCAUUUCUGCAUGCUUAGAAAGCAUAUUAGCGAUGCUGUGGUAGUGGAUUCCUCUGUGAGUGCUGACAUUCAAGAAAAUCUUUCUUUUGAUGAGAUUCCUGUUGAAAUUCUUGAUUUCAGUGUCCUAAGACUAAGGAACAAAGAAGUUCCCUUGGUCAAGGUAUUGUGGCGAAACCAAUCUAUUGAGGGUGCAACUUGAGAAGCUAAGGCGGAUAUGUGAUCCAAGUACCCGCACCUAUUUUUCGCGAACUCCGAUCAAGCCGAAGGUACCGUUCUUUCCUAAAUCAUGCACUUUUGAUAAAAGUUGCAGCAGUUCAGCUGUCAUUUAUUAUGUGUUCAUCUGUAGUUUCUUGAAUCUAUGCAUUCUAUGUUGCAUUCGAAGUGAGAAACGAUGUGGUGAUGAGUCUAAUGAAUGGUUUCAGAUAUAUUCUCUAUUCCCUAUCUAAUCUUGGUAUGUCUAGCAUCAUUCGAGGAAGAAUGUUUCCAAGGGGGGCGGGGGGGAUGAUGUAAUACCCCGGAAAAUUUUUCGUUGAAAUUUUGUGUGUAAACGUAUUGGGUUCUAUCCUCUAGAAUGAAUUAUAAAUUUUCCGUGUGGAAUAUCUUAGAUUAAGACCCACCAUUGA
RNAcentral lists this long non-coding RNA (13177 nucleotides) under Capsicum annuum. Its description in RNAcentral is "long non-coding RNA (CANN_LNC008969)". The record is from RNAcentral. Lineage: Eukaryota; Viridiplantae; Streptophyta; Magnoliopsida; Solanales; Solanaceae.